Molecule: long non-coding RNA, 1308 nt
Organism: Zingiber officinale
Lineage: Eukaryota; Viridiplantae; Streptophyta; Magnoliopsida; Zingiberales; Zingiberaceae
Exons: 3
Source: RefSeq, a predicted model, not a curated record
AUUUUUCUUUACCGUACCCUAAGCCCGACGCCGACCCCCAUUCCUCCUCGGUUUCUUCUUCCCGAGACUCCUCAUCUUCCCAAAUCGACGACGUUUCCUCUCCUCCCCUCGCGUACAAAAUCGCUGGCGGAAGCCUCGAGGAGAAGCCUCCUCCUCUUCCCCGAGCCCAAUCGUCUUCCUCUCGAUCUCGCGGCGCUGCCCAAGAACCAAUCAGCCACCUGCCCAAGACGAGAAGUGAGCAACACUGAGCCCUAGCUUCCUCUCUAAGCCGAUGUCGCCUCCUUGUCGAAGGCCAGAUCGGAGACUUUACCGGUCGAGGGAGUGUCGUCGUCCUCAUGUGCCCUAUCCCCGAAUCACCACCGACCAUUUCUGGUUUUCCGAUCAGAGGCGCCAUCUUUGUAUGAGACAAUUUUUGGCCAAUAAGGGAGGGUCCGAGCCCUAGUUUGGUUUUCUUCCUCCCGUGCGCUGGUGUUGAGGACCCUAGCAGCAGGGACUUUCCUACUGGAUUUCGGCCAUUGCAGUAGGUCAGAGGACCUUAGAGGUAGUGAAGAUUGUUUGGGCGAGAUCUGCGAUUUCUGGAGAGGAAGCCAAAACAAGUGUUGUGGAGGUAAGGAAGUCUGUGUACAGGGUUUAGGAGUUUUACAUGCUUCGUGUUUAAUUUGUAGGGGUUUGAUUUCUUUUCAGUUUUAGGAUAUCUAGUUGUUUUCAAUGACCAUUGUAGCUGCUUCUAGAAAUUCUGGAAGUGAGUUCUUCAGGAUUAGAUCAGUGGCUGAGACAUCGGAUUUGGGUAAGGUUUUGAGUUAAUUUAUGUUGUGUUGACUUGUUAGAAAUGGAUUUGCUGAAAGGAUCAAUUAAAGAAUUGAUAAUGCUGGGUUAAACCUAACUCAAUCAAGUAAUUGAUAUUAGAUAAGAGUUAGGCGGUAAUUAGGGUUAAACUAAUUUAACUCAGAUGGGUGGUUAAUUAAUGGUAGUACAUCGAUUAGGAUUUUUCCCUAACUAGUGUUGGGGAUGUAUUUAGCUAAAUAAUUCAAAGGAACUUAGCUAAAUAAAAUACUUUGAUAUAGGACUCUGAUUUGUGACGAGCUGCCUUACGUGAGAUUACCUUUGGCAUGCACUAUAUUGGAGGUUGAGGUCGUUAGGAGAUUCCAGUACCUAGUCUCCACUUCGUGUCGCGAUGAUUUUCUUCUUACAGACUUGGUUCCUUGUUUUUGUGAUGAUCUACUUGUUGAUCUAUAUACUUGUAAUUGUACUCGAGGAUUUUUAUUGAGUUUUGGUCUACUACACUUAUUUUUCCGUUGCGUUGAUUUC